Anoxybacillus flavithermus WK1 is the source of this 91-nucleotide non-coding RNA. Lineage: Bacteria; Bacillati; Bacillota; Bacilli; Caryophanales; Anoxybacillaceae. The record is from Rfam.
UGGGCAGUAUCUUUGUAAGAACUGCACCACAUAUACGACAUAUUGAAGAUCAUUUCUGCCUUGAUCCGAUGAAACGGACGGGGACAGAGGG